Small nuclear RNA from Loxodonta africana (African savanna elephant), 107 nucleotides. NCBI's taxonomy places the organism in Eukaryota, Metazoa, Chordata, Mammalia, Proboscidea, Elephantidae. The record is from Ensembl.
GUGCUCGCUUUGGCAGCACAUAUACUAAAAUUGGAAUGAGACAGAGAUGAUUAGCAUGGCCCCUGCAUAAAGAUAACAUGCAAAUUUGUGAAGCAUUUCAUAUUUUU